CAGGGAUUGCCCUAGUAACGGCGAGUGAAGCGGCAACAGCUCAAAUUUGAAAUCUGGCUCCGGCCCGAGUUGUAAUUUGCAGAGGAUGUUUCUGGCGCGGUGCCUUCCGAGUUCCCUGGAACGGGACGCCACAGAGGGUGAGAGCCCCGUAUGGUUGGACACCAAGCCUGUGUGAAACUCCUUCGACGAGUCGAGUAGUUUGGGAAUGCUGCUCAAAAUGGGAGGUAAAUCUCUUCUAAAGCUAAAUACCGGCCAGAGACCGAUAGCGCACAAGUAGAGUGAUCGAAAGAUGAAAAGCACCUUGAAAAGGGGGUUAAACAGUACGUGAAAUUGUUGAAAGGGAAGCACUUGUGACCAGACUUGUGCCGGGCGGUUCAUCCGGGGUUCUCCCCGGUGCACUCCGCCCGGUAUAGGCCAGCAUCGGUUCUUUCUGGGGGAUAAGAACGGUGGGAACGUGGCCCUCCCUCGGGAGGGUGUUAUAGCCCGCCGUACGAUACCCUGGAGGGGACCGAGGUUCGCGCUCCGCAAGGAUGCUGGCGUAAUGGUCACCAGUGACCCGUCUU
This 563-nucleotide ribosomal RNA is filed under the name Dendrostoma osmanthi. RNAcentral describes it as "eukaryotic LSU rRNA". It matches the Rfam family "Eukaryotic large subunit ribosomal RNA", at positions 69 to 655 of the family's 3401-position model. The record is from RNAcentral. Lineage: Eukaryota; Fungi; Ascomycota; Sordariomycetes; Diaporthales; Erythrogloeaceae.